UGUACUAACCGGAAGGAUAAAGGCAGUAGAAAGAAGUUUUUUUAGAAUCCCUGCGGAACCAGGACGAAGGGCUGCAUGGCUUAGAGCCUUAAAAAGGUCAGAUUUUGAGCAGGGAAAGAAAAACCCGACCGCGGCGUGGACACCACGAGGCCACGAGAGAGUGUGCAGCGACCAUUUCAUCUCAGGGAACCCUUCUAAAGACCCUGCAGAUCCAGAUUACGUCCCAAGCUUGUUUAACCUCCCAACCUCAGCAAGUUGCAAUCGUUCAAGAAACCCAGUUGCCAAGAAAGAUCGGUAUAUGCGUGCAGCAAAAAGGCUGCGGGUGUCAUCAGAGAAUGAAGCCCCACCUACAUCACUAAAUGAUGAAGAAAUGAUCGCUGACCCUCCUCCUGAAAGUGUAGAGACUCUGAGAGACCCCCUUCCUGAAAGUGUAGAGACUCUGAGAGAACAGCUCACAAAAGUACAAGAGGAGAAAUGUAAGUUGGAACAGUUUUGCGAGUCCCUUCAAAGUGAAGCUGACAACCUUAGGGAAGAACGUGAUCACCUUCAAGAACAAAUCAAGAAAUCAUCAACAUCAGCCUCCAAUCUCACAGAUGCAAAAUGCAAGCUCUUCACUGGAAUACCUACUGUUGCACUGUUUAUGUUUGUGUUUAGACUUGUUAGUGAUUUCAUUGCUCCUCUAAAGUCCAUGUGUCAGCAGGAUCAAAUACUCAUGACUCUCAUGAAGUUGAGACUAGGCCUCAAAAAUGCUGAUCUAGCUUUGAGAUUUAGUGUUUCUGCCUCCACAGUUUCAAAAGUCAUAAACCGUUGUA
Molecule: long non-coding RNA, 812 nt
Organism: Branchiostoma floridae (Florida lancelet)
Lineage: Eukaryota; Metazoa; Chordata; Leptocardii; Amphioxiformes; Branchiostomatidae
Exons: 4
Source: RefSeq, a predicted model, not a curated record